AAAUAAGAUUCAAUUAAUUGUAUUUAGUUUCGACCUAAAAAUUUGGUAUUAAUUUAUACCCUUAUUUU
Molecule: transfer RNA, 68 nt
Filed under: Euryusa optabilis
Lineage: Eukaryota; Metazoa; Arthropoda; Insecta; Coleoptera; Staphylinidae
Description: tRNA-Arg
Source: RNAcentral